This 236-nucleotide unclassified non-coding RNA is filed under the name Melitaea cinxia (Glanville fritillary). Its description in RNAcentral is "misc RNA ENSMCXG00005006454.1". Lineage: Eukaryota; Metazoa; Arthropoda; Insecta; Lepidoptera; Nymphalidae. The record is from RNAcentral.
AUUUGUAAAUAUAAUCUUGUAACAAAUAAAAUAGUAGUAAGAAAAGUAAAUAAAAUGUAAAUAAAAGUGUUGUACCCAAACCCCACUCAUUUCCCCAGGAGUUUUUAAUUUUAAGUAAUAUAGAAAUAAAAAAAAAAAAAAAAAAAAAAAAAAAAAAAAAAAAAAAAAAAAAAAAAAAAAAAAAAAAAAAAAAAAAAAAAAAAAAACCUAACCUAACCUAACCUAACCUAACCUAA